UUCCCUUCCUACAUUCAAUAAACUUGUACAUUGUGCAUUACGAACUUGUGUGUUCCCUUUCAUCGGUCAUCGAUACUAGACGUUAUUUAUCCUUCACCCUUUCAAUUUCCCUUCUCCCUAAUAUACAUUCGUUGAAUGUAAGGCAGCCAAAUCGAAUGUCCUUCCAUUUUUCAUCUACAAUCUUCAAUGAUGGAGAGGGAAACAGAUGUGAGAGUAGGGGAGAAUUCCACCGGUCACCACCGUUGAUUGAAUAUAUAUCGGUUGACAAGUUCUGGGUCUUGUUGACUUGUUCUGCCUUUUCACAGCUUUCAAUUUGCGUUUUUAACCCUAAAGAAUAAAGAAAACAGGGGUCACACGUAUCAUACGAGUCAAGAACUGCAAUGGAAACCACCUGUAGGAGUUACUCUCGAAACAUGGAAGACGAAUAUUAAAUGUUUAUCCGUCACAUGAACCCGCCACGAGGGUAACGAAUCAGGUAAAAACACUACAAUCAUCUAGGCACACACCCUUCAAUUUGACAAUUUCAUCAUGUUUUAGGUAUAGAAGAUCCUGAUCAAUGGCAUGCCCACAAGGUGUUUGUGUUAUUGCCUGAAAGAAACUGAUUGUUUGAUUUAGUGUUUUAUUGAAACAAGUGGACCGAGCUAACAAGCAUGGCAUUCUUUUGGAAGUUGUGAAAGUGCUCACUGAUCUAAACUUCAUUGUUAUAAAACACACAUUAUUGUUAAAGAAUUGUUUUAUUUACUACUAUCAUUUGUUUUAUUUUGAUGAUUAUGAAUUUAUUUAUAUUUCACCGAAUAGCAGAGAUGUUUUACAACACCGGUCACCAUCACGGUUACCAGCUAAACAAGGGGUACAGUGCGUUCACCUUUUGUUCAAUGGUUGUUGAUUCGUUACACCAGUCAGGCAUUGUUAUUCUUAUCAUUGAAUAUAUUUUUUUAAACUAAGGUACAGGUUGGCUAAGUUCUUACUCACUGUCAUGUGUGUGAUACAUUUUAUAGGCUAAUCAGAGAAUCAAGUAUGAAUAAUCAAAGUGGGGACCGCUCAUUUUUUUGACUAUCUAGAAGUUUGUCUCCGCCACAAAGAAGAGAUGUUAUAUUUGAAGCCACAAAGCAAAGAUUGAAAGAUGUUUUAUUUGAAGCGGUCAGGGCAAUAACGGAACUAAAAGGUAACAGAAUAUUCUAAAUAAAAGAAUCCUUGAUUCCUCUUGGUGACAACUCAGGCUCUUCAAGCAUCUCACUUAAGGAUGACAUUUCCGGUUGGGUUUAUUUAGUUGGCUCUAUAGUAUAUCAUUUGUUUUCAGUCUGGUUAGUCAAAGGUCUCUAACAUUCUUGUUAUUGAUUUCUGUACUAAUAUAUGUAUGCACAUGUUUUAGUAUUACACACCGUUCAGGUGUAAAUAAUAGAAUAUCUAAUGGCGUUGAUGGCAGCAGUUAAAAACUUACCCCACCGGUGCGGGUGAUUUUAUAU
This is a long non-coding RNA of Helianthus annuus (common sunflower), 1466 nucleotides long. RefSeq lists it as uncharacterized. The record is from RefSeq and is a predicted model, not a curated record. NCBI's taxonomy places the organism in Eukaryota, Viridiplantae, Streptophyta, Magnoliopsida, Asterales, Asteraceae. The transcript is spliced from 4 exons.